RNAcentral lists this long non-coding RNA (1049 nucleotides) under Gossypium barbadense (sea-island cotton). RNAcentral describes it as "long non-coding RNA (GBAR_LNC016962)". Lineage: Eukaryota; Viridiplantae; Streptophyta; Magnoliopsida; Malvales; Malvaceae. The record is from RNAcentral.
UAUUGCAUAAUUUAACUUAAUUAUUUUUUUUAUUUCUCAAGAUUUCUACCGGAACGAGCCUAAUAAGUAAUUAAAAUUUAAUAUCAUUAUUGUAAGGCCCAAUAUUUGCCCGGCCCGUGCACAAAUAAAUACCAAAUUAAAAAGUCAAAAAAAAAAAACAAACAAUAACAUCAACCCAAGUUACAGAAACCCAACUAGCCUAAACCCAAUUAGCCUAAGCCCAAUACCCUGGCCCAAUCACGAAGCGGCCAACGCAAAGUCAGAGGUUGGAAACCCUAGCAGCAAGGGUUCCCAGUGCCACAGAUGUGACGUCCCUUCGCUCUCCCUUCGCAUGUGACGAGCCCUCGUGCGUGCGCGCGAGCCUCCGUACGAGCACGCCUCUCCCCACAUGCACUGUACCACGCGAGCCUCCGUACAUGCGCGCCCACGCACCUCCGUACCCGUACCUGUAAAGGACAAGCAAACGAGUAACAAAAACAGAGAGCAACAGCAAAGAAAGAUACCAUAACAAAUGGACCGAAGAUAAUAGCAAAAAAAAAUGUAAAAGAAAAAAAGAGUUUUAGAGAAUUUUAUUUUGAGCUUCUUCUUUCUGUUUUGGCUAUAAAAGGCCAAUCAUCUUCUGUAAAAAGGGGUUACACACGCAUACUGUAAAGAAAAAACAAAAUCAAUACCAAAAAAAGGUUCUCCUUUUUUUCUUUUCGGUUUCUUUUUAAUGGCUUUUUUCUUUUUCUUUUUCUGCUUGAUCUUAAUCAUAUAUAUAGGCAUAUUUAUAAAAUAUAAGAGGGAAGGGUUUAGAAACAUUACCUGGUUCGGUGCGUCGCCGAAUCCCCCUCCGUUCAGGCCAAGAUUGAAUAGGCGAGGGGGACAUUUUCGUUGCUAAAGCGGCGCAGAGGGUUGAAGGCUUGGUGUCUGUGUGUCAACAGACUGGUUUUAGGGUUAGGAGGGGUCUUUUAUAGUGCGGAAAACGGCACCAUUUAGGGCUUGUUUCAGUGGCCCUAAAACGGCACUGUAUUGGUCGUUUUACUCCCUCCUACCCGCGUGUUGACCCG